RNAcentral lists this ribosomal RNA (301 nucleotides) under uncultured bacterium. RNAcentral describes it as "partial 16S ribosomal RNA". It matches the Rfam family "Bacterial small subunit ribosomal RNA", at positions 509 to 807 of the family's 1533-position model. The record is from RNAcentral.
CAGUCGCCGCGGUAAUGCGUAGGGUGCGAGCGUUAAUCGGAAUUACUGGGCGUAAAGCGUGCGCAGGCGGUUUUGUAAGACAGGCGUGAAAUCCCCGGACUCAACCUGGGAAUGGUGCUUGUGACUGCAAAGCUAGAGUGCGGCAGAGGGGGAUGGAAUUCCGCGUGUAGCAGUGAAAUGCGUAGAUAUGCGGAGGAACACCGAUGGCGAAGGCAAUCCCCUGGGCCUGCACUGACGCUCAUGCACGAAAGCGUGGGGAGCAAACAGGAUUAGAGACCCGCGUAGUCCCUGUCUCUUAUAC